RNAcentral lists this ribosomal RNA (468 nucleotides) under uncultured bacterium. Its description in RNAcentral is "partial 16S ribosomal RNA". It matches the Rfam family "Bacterial small subunit ribosomal RNA", at positions 28 to 507 of the family's 1533-position model. The record is from RNAcentral.
GACGAACGCUGGCGGCGUGCUUAACACAUGCAAGUCGAACGGAAAGGCCCUGCUUUUGUGGGGUGCUCGAGUGGCGAACGGGUGAGUAACACGUGAGUAACCUGCCCUUGACUUUGGGAUAACUUCAGGAAACUGGGGCUAAUACCGGAUAGGAGCUCCUGCUGCAUGGUGGGGGUUGGAAAGUUUCGGCGGUUGGGGAUGGACUCGCGGCUUAUCAGCUUGUUGGUGGGGUAGUGGCUUACCAAGGCUUUGACGGGUAGCCGGCCUGAGGGGGUGACCGGCCACAUGGGGACUGAGAUACGGCCCAGACUCCUACGGGAGGCAGCAGUGGGGAAUAUUGCACAAUGGGCGGAAGCCUGAUGCAGCAACGCCGCGUGCGGGAUGACGGCCUUCGGGUUGUAAACCGCUUUCGCCUGUGACGAAGCGUGAGUGACGGUAAUGGGUAAAGAAGCACCGGCUAACUACGUG